This 253-nucleotide ribosomal RNA is filed under the name uncultured bacterium. RNAcentral describes it as "partial 16S ribosomal RNA". It matches the Rfam family "Bacterial small subunit ribosomal RNA", at positions 524 to 776 of the family's 1533-position model. The record is from RNAcentral.
GACGGAAGGUGCAAGCGUUGCUCGGAAUCACUGGGCGUAAAGGGUGCGUAGGCGGCUUGGUAGGUCUGGUGUGAAAGCCCCGGGCUCAGCCCGGGAAGGGCACUAGAAACUGCCAAGCUAGAGUGCCGGAGGGGAGAGUGGAAUUCCUGGUGUAGCGGUGAAAUGCGCAGAUAUCAGGAGGAACACCAGCGGCGAAGGCGGCGCUCUGGGCCGGUACUGACACUGAGGAGCGAAAGCGUGGGUAGCAAACAGG